UGCAAUUGAAGUAUUUAAUGGUACAUCUUAUUUACACUAAGAAAGUCUCUAAUUAGAGCAGUUGC
RNAcentral lists this transfer RNA (65 nucleotides) under Berthelinia limax. RNAcentral's name for it is "tRNA-Val". The record is from RNAcentral. Lineage: Eukaryota; Metazoa; Mollusca; Gastropoda; Juliidae.